ACUCAAAGGAAUUGACGGGGGCUCACACAAGCGGUGGAGCAUGUGGUUCAAUUCGAAGCAACGCGCAGAACCUUACCUGGGUUUGACAUUCUAGGAUUAUCCGGGUGAAAGUCCGGUAGGCCUCGCAAGAGGUACAACUAGAACAGGUGCUGCAUGGCUGUCGUCAGCUCGUGUCGUGAGAUGUCGGGUUAAGUCCCUUAACGAGCGAAACCUUUACCCUUAGUUACCAGCGGGUUAUGCCGGGGACUCUAAGGGGACUGCCGGUGUCAAACCGGAGGAAGGUGGAGAUGACGUCAAGUCCUCAUGGCCUUUAUGCCCAGGGCCACACACGUGCUACAAUGGCGUGCAUAAAGCGAACCUAAAGCGCAAGCUCAUGGAAAUCGCAAAAAUCACGCCCCAGUUCAGAUCGGAGGCUGCAACUCGCCUCCGUGAAGUUGGAAUCGCUAGUAAUCGCGGAUCAGCUACGCCGCGGUGAAUGUGUUCCUGAGCCUUGCACACACCGCCCGU
This 507-nucleotide ribosomal RNA is filed under the name uncultured bacterium. RNAcentral describes it as "partial 16S ribosomal RNA". It matches the Rfam family "Bacterial small subunit ribosomal RNA", at positions 899 to 1397 of the family's 1533-position model. The record is from RNAcentral.